Molecule: non-coding RNA, 31 nt
Filed under: Mus musculus (house mouse)
Lineage: Eukaryota; Metazoa; Chordata; Mammalia; Rodentia; Muridae
Source: RNAcentral
UUAAAUGAACAAUUAGUCCUACUUACCUACG